CCCAGACUCCUACGGGAGGCAGCAGUGGGGAAUAUUGCACAAUGGGGGGAACCCUGAUGCAGCGACGCCGCGUGGGUGAAGGAGUACUUCGGUACGUAAAGCCCUAUCAGCAGGAAAGAAAAUGACGGUACCUGACUAAGAAGCCCCGGCUAACUACGUGCCAGCAGCCGCGGUAAUACGUAGGGGGCAAGCGUUAUCCGGAUUUACUGGGUGUAAAGGGAGCGUAGACGGCAGUGCAAGUCCGGAGUGAAAGCCCGGGGCUCAACCCUGGGACUGCUCUGGAAACUGUAAAGCUGGAGUGCGGGAGGGGCAGGCGGAAUUCCUGGUGUAGCGGUGAAAUGCGUAGAUAUCAGGAGGAACACCGGCGGCGAAGGCGGCCUGCUGGACCGUAACUGACGUUGAGGCUCGAAAGCGUGGGGAGCAAACAGGAUUAGAUACCCUCGUAU
Molecule: ribosomal RNA, 446 nt
Filed under: uncultured bacterium
Lineage: Bacteria
Description: bacterial SSU rRNA
Rfam family: Bacterial small subunit ribosomal RNA
Source: RNAcentral